GGCGGAUCUUGCGUUCUCAACGGCGGCGGCGGAGCCCUCGUUCUCAACGGCGGCGGAGCCUUCGUCCUCAAAAAAUGGUUGUGAGGGGAGCCCGUGGGCAUACUGAGAUGGAGCCCCCAGAUUCAACUUCGAAUAGAGGGGAUGCUGCCGCUCGGACCUUCGAAUUGACGGUCAAUUUCUUUCCAUCAAAGGCAAAAUUAGUUGAUGGUAGCAUUCAGAACAUUGAGAGAGACACAAUUGUUAAAUGGGAGGUUGAGUUUACAGAGAUUGAUCCACAAGUUCUACAGAACA
Molecule: long non-coding RNA, 291 nt
Organism: Triticum dicoccoides
Lineage: Eukaryota; Viridiplantae; Streptophyta; Magnoliopsida; Poales; Poaceae
Exons: 3
Source: RefSeq, a predicted model, not a curated record